ACGGAAGGCAGCAGUGAGGAAUAUUGGUCAAUGGGCGGAAGCCUGAACCAGCCAAGUCGCGUGAAGGAUGAAGGUAUUAUGUAUUGUAAACUUCUUUAGCUGUGGAGCAAUAAUCUCCAUGUAUGGAGAGAUGGGAGUACACAGAGAAUAAGGAUCGGCUAACUCCGUGCCAGCAGCCGCGGUAAUACGGAGGAUCCGAGCGUUAUCCGGAUUUAUUGGGUUUAAAGGGUGCGCAGGCGGCUUUCUAAGUCAGUGGUCAAAUCGUGGUGCUCAACGCCAUCCCGCCAUUGAUACUGGAGAGCUUGAUUGCGGUCGAGGUUUGCGGAAUUCGUCGUGUAGCGGUGAAAUGCAUAGAUAUGACGAAGAACACCGAUUGCGUAGGCAGCAGACCAGGCCGUAAAUGACGCUCAUGCACGAAAGUGCGGGGAUCGAACAGGAUUAGAUACCCUGGUA
Molecule: ribosomal RNA, 453 nt
Filed under: uncultured Porphyromonadaceae bacterium
Lineage: Bacteria; Pseudomonadati; Bacteroidota; Bacteroidia; Bacteroidales; Porphyromonadaceae
Description: bacterial SSU rRNA
Rfam family: Bacterial small subunit ribosomal RNA
Source: RNAcentral